RNAcentral lists this ribosomal RNA (440 nucleotides) under uncultured bacterium. Its description in RNAcentral is "partial 16S ribosomal RNA". It matches the Rfam family "Bacterial small subunit ribosomal RNA", at positions 338 to 795 of the family's 1533-position model. The record is from RNAcentral.
CCUACGGGGGGCAGCAGUGGGGAAUAUUGCACAAUGGGGGAAACCCUGAUGCAGCGACGCCGCGUGAAGGAAGAAGUAUUUCGGUAUGUAAACUUCUUUCAGCAGGGAAGAAAAUGCCGGUACCUGACUAAGACGCCCCUGCUAACUCCGUGCCAGCAGCCGCGGUACUUCGUCGGGGUCACGCGUUCUCCGGAUUUGCGUGGCGUAACGGGAGCGUAGGCGGUGCAGCAAGUCAGAAGUGAAAGCCCGGGGCUCAACUCCGGGAGUGCCUUUGAAACUGUUGAACUAGAGUGCAGGAGAGGUAAGUGGAAUGCGUGGUGUAGCGGUGAAAUGCGUAGAUAUUAGGAGGAACACCAGUGGCGAAGGCAGCUUACUGGACUUUAAAUGACGCUGAGGCUCGAAAGCGUGGGGAGCAAACAGGAUUAGAUACCCUUGUAGUC